CAGGCUGCAACUCGCCUGUAUGAAGUCGGAAUUGCUAGUAAUCGCGGAUCAGCAUGCCGCGGUGAAUACGUUCCCGGGCCUUGUACACACCGCCCGUCACACCAUGAGAGUCGGGAACACCCGAAGUCGGUAGUCUAACCGCAAGGAGGGCGCCGCCGAAGGUGGGCUUGAUAAUUGGGGUGAAGUCGUAACAAGGUAAC
Molecule: ribosomal RNA, 200 nt
Filed under: uncultured bacterium
Lineage: Bacteria
Description: partial 16S ribosomal RNA
Rfam family: Bacterial small subunit ribosomal RNA
Source: RNAcentral